Molecule: long non-coding RNA, 1573 nt
Filed under: Oryza brachyantha (malo sina)
Lineage: Eukaryota; Viridiplantae; Streptophyta; Magnoliopsida; Poales; Poaceae
Description: long non-coding RNA (OBRA_LNC000535)
Source: RNAcentral
UAAUUUAUAUAUAUGUCUAGAUUUAUUAGCAUCUAUAUGAAAUCUAGACAAUGUUAAAAAGUCUUACAUCAUAAAACGGAGAACGGAGAGAGUAUUUUUUUCUCAGAGUUUGUGAGGCUGGUUGUCCAGAUUACAUUGUGCCCUCUUCAGAUUCCUGUCAUUCUUAAACCAAUCAAUCAGGUGCCACAAUCUAUACUUAUCUCCACUCCCUCUUUUGUCGUGUAAAUUGUAAGAACCAUCCUAUACAGACGACAAAAGAGGUUGAUAAGUAUAGAUUGUGACACAUGAUUGAUUGUGGAAUUUGUUCAAACAUGGGUAAAUUUUUGUAGCAAAUCAAACAUGCAUGUCCUACUAUUAAAUUUGCCAAAAUCUUGGUAGGGUAAAAAGAUGGAUCCAAUCCAAAUAAGCCCAUAAUCCUCAGCUGAAACCAUUUCUUCAAACACCAUACAUGGUACAAAGGCGCCAUUUUUUUCCUUUCUUACUAGGUUAAAUUUGUCGGCCAUCAUUUGAGUUGUUGGUGGAAAAAACUAAAAGAUAUAUUUGCAAACCGGAAAUAAAUUAUGAAUAAAAAUUUUAUAUACAUCUUCAAUUUAAAAAACCAAAGCUAAAAAUAAUUCAUGAUAAAAAAACCAUAAAAUCAACUUCAAGUUUAAGGUUAAAAUUUUAAAUUUUAGCUUAUAAAUAUAAGCAAGAGAAAAAAAAUGGGAAUGGGGGCUGUGGGCGUCUCCCCUUCAUUUGCACGAACAAUUUUGACAAUUCGAGCGUGUGAUGUAAUGGUAUGAGGUGACCGAGCCCCAUCUUUGGAUGAUAGAAGUAAAAGCGAAACCGAAAAAAAUAAGGUGUGGGUAAAAAUUUAUAAUAUAUAUAUAUAUAUAUAUAUAUAUUCUUAACUAUCAAAAACAAAAAAUGGGAAAAUAAACUACGAUGAAAGAACACUAAAUUAAGUUUUAAAAUUUAAAAUUUAGUUUAUAAACAUAAUAAUAAACGAAAAGAUGAAAUCAAUACCGAUGAAGAUCUACUUUGUCAAAACGGAAAGUGAAAAAGAAUUAAUGCUAUAUUAACAUUCCUUCUCUUUUGUUUCGAAAAGAAACGAAAAUGAAGACAUGAACAGACAAUAUUAAAUUUCUGUUGAUUGCAUGAUUGCAUCGCACCUGAUCCCUUAAUCUGUUGAGUGCAUGAUUGCAUCGUACCUGAUCCCUUAAUUAAUUUACUAGGUUGGAUGACAUGAGAAGACGAUCUUCACGUGCCGGCCUCAUGGAGUUGCGACGGCGCACGACCAUGCCUGCAUGCAUGCGGCCUCGAUGGUCGCCUCACGGCGGCCGGAGCUUCACAGGAACGGCAGGGCGAAGAGGGUAUCCACGCCCCCCCGUAGUUCGCCGCCAGCCUGCGCACGGCGCGCCGGAGCCACCUCAGCCGCAGCCGCCGCAGGACCCCUCGCCCGCGCCCGCCGCCGCCACCACGUCCUCGUCCUCGUCCACCACCUUCUCCUCCUCCGCCGCCGCAGCCGUCUCCUAGCCGGACGACCGGGAGCUUCUUCCGGCGCCGCCUGAGCCCGCACCACAUCAGCGGCUGG